This 451-nucleotide ribosomal RNA is filed under the name uncultured prokaryote. RNAcentral describes it as "bacterial SSU rRNA". It matches the Rfam family "Bacterial small subunit ribosomal RNA", at positions 355 to 796 of the family's 1533-position model. The record is from RNAcentral.
UGGGGAAUCUUGCACAAUGGGCGAAAGCCUGAUGCAGCGACGCCGCGUGGGGGAGGAAGGCCCUAGGGUUGUAAACCCCUGUCAGGCGGGAAGAAACUCGGGUCGGCGAACAGUCGGUCCGGUUGACGGUACCGCCAGAGGAAGCUCCGGCUAACUCCGUGCCAGCAGCCGCGGUAAAACGGAGGGAGCGAGCGUUGUCCGGAAUCACUGGGCGUAAAGGGCGCGUAGGCGGCCGCGUGAGUCGUAUGUGAAAGGCCGGGGCUUAACCCCGUGCAUUGCAUGCGAUACUGCGUGGCUAGAGACAGGCAGGGGCGAGCGGAAUUCCCGGUGUAGCGGUGGAAUGCGUAGAUAUCGGGAGGAACACCCGUGGCGAAGGCGGCUCGCUGGGCCUCGUCUGACGCUGAAGCGCGAAAGCGUGGGGAGCAAACAGGAUUAGAUACCCCCGUAGUCC